This 352-nucleotide ribosomal RNA is filed under the name uncultured bacterium. RNAcentral describes it as "bacterial SSU rRNA". It matches the Rfam family "Bacterial small subunit ribosomal RNA", at positions 28 to 381 of the family's 1533-position model. The record is from RNAcentral.
GACGAACGCUGGCGGCGUGCUUAACACAUGCAAGUCGAGCGGUAAGGCCCUUUCGGGGGUACACGAGCGGCGAACGGGUGAGUAACACGUGGGUGACCUGCCCUUAGCUCUGGGAUAAGCCUGGGAAACUGGGUCUAAUACCGGAUAUGACUCCAUGACGCAUGUUGUGGGGUGGAAAGCCUUGUGCGGCUAGGGAUGGGCCCGCGGCCUAUCAGCUUGUUGGUGGGGUGAUGGCCUACCAAGGCGACGACGGGUAGCCGGCCUGAGAGGGCGACCGGCCACACUGGGACUGAGACACGGCCCAGACUCCUACGGGAGGCAGCAGUGGGGAAUCUUGCGCAAUGGGCGAAAG